Molecule: long non-coding RNA, 3570 nt
Filed under: Gossypium barbadense (sea-island cotton)
Lineage: Eukaryota; Viridiplantae; Streptophyta; Magnoliopsida; Malvales; Malvaceae
Description: long non-coding RNA (GBAR_LNC015920)
Source: RNAcentral
UUUUUAUUGGCCAAAAAAUAUGUAAAUAUACUACUACUACUUAUUGGAUGUGUCGAACCAUACAUACCCCUCUUAAUUAGCAUAGAACUUAUGUCAGAUAAUGUAGGGGUGUCCACAGGGACUGACGUCCGGCCACCACCACCACCACUCAGCAGAAGCUGCAAUUAAAGACCUCUAAAUUGAUUAUUGUACGACGGUCAGGUCAGUCCUUGGCCUCUCCGUGGGUUUUCCACAUACCCAAGCUCUAUAAUCUUGAGCUUGAUUUUUUUUUCUUUUCGGUUUGGUGCAGAGGGCACUGGAUUUCUCUUUCCCACAGAAACCUCCUUUUGGAAGUACAAAGUACAAACAGAAAUUUCCUGCUUUGACGCUUACAUUAUUAUCAUGUUUAUCUUUGUAAGUACAUGCAUUACUAUCAUUACCUAUUUAAAUCUUAAUUUGGUUGAUUGGUAUCAUGCUUAAAAUCUUUUAAUUUAAGGUUGGGAAAAGUUUAUUAUCAAUACCUAAAAAGUUAAAAUGAGUUAAAUUUUGAUAUAAGUUUGGAUCCAUUAAUAAAUUCUUUAAAAAAUUAUAUCAGUGGGGGUUUACUACUUCUAUACCCCAUCCCCUCCCCAUCCCCAUCCCCCAUCUUCAACAUCAAUUCAUUAACCAGAACAUCUGAGAUGAGAAAGUAUUGCUUUAUCACCUAUCAUGUUCAGGCUUUUGUUUUUUGUUUUCUGUUUUUUGUUUUUUUGUUUUUUAAUUUCCAAUGAGUAUGUUGAAAUGCUGUCGUUUUCAAAAUUUUGCAUGCAGGAGUAAUAUAAGUUUGGGAUCAAAUUAGAAAUGGGUCCAACUCAGGUUUUGUACUAUUAAUCCAACCCUAACAUCACAUGUCAUGUCUUGCUAUGACUAGGACAAACCCACAUUUCAAAACAGUGCUGUUAGGUGUCAAUCAGCACUCACACUGGACCAUGCAAUAUACCCACUUUUAUUUGUUUAUAUCCAUGCCAUUUUCCAACACAGAAACGAAAAGCCAAAGUAACACAAAAUACAACCAUGAAAAUUAUAGUAACAAUUACAAACAUUGUUUUGCUGCUAGCAAAAAAAAUGCAAUUGCAAAACAUAACCUGCAUGAACUUACACAAUGUUGAUUGAAUAUAGGAUGCAAAUACUCUCAAAUUUUAAACUUUUCUUUUCUACAUUAAAAGGACUAUAUUUCCAUAUCCAUAAGGAAUAAUGGCAUAGGGUUCUUCCUUUUGCUCUGCUCUACACAGGCCAACAAGAGCUUUGACAUGUCUAUCAAAUAUACGGUACUAUAUGUUAUAAAAGCUUACAAUAGUACAGAAAUAGAUUCUUCUUCUUCAUUGUUCAUCCAUAUCAAGAAGGAGAUGUCCAAAGCUCUGCAUUUUUAACCUUUGAAACACUCUCAAGCACUUCAAAAGGGAUUAUAUCACCAAUAACAACUACCCUUUUGUUUUCCAGGUCUACUUUGUAUGAGGUCACUCCUGUUUUUUCAUGGUACAGCUAGGAAUUACAUUACAGUAAUGAUAAUGUAUAAUAACAAAACAAAACCAAAAGGAACCUAAUUAGCUCUCUCCCAGCUAAACAUACUUUAAAAUGAUGGAAAAAAGAUAAAAAAAGGGUCGAUAAAUAAAAUGGAGAUAUCAGAAGAGAUUGCUUACCAUCCAUCUUUGAAAUGUGUUUUUCAACUUUUCUUGCACAUCCAUGGCAAUGCAUGGAUACCCUUAGUACCACCAUCUACAAGGUCAAAUCAAUCAAAGUAGCUUGUUAGCUAUUCAAGCUUUUCAUUCACUAUAUGUUCUUCUUUCAGAAAAUAAAGCAAACAUUUAGAGAUAUAAAUAUAUAUAUAUGCACAUUACCUUAGGCUUAAGCUGAAAGGCCAAGGUCUGAUUGCCAGCCACAACAUCUUUCAAUCUCAACAACUGGGUUUUUUCAGAUGUUACCAAUGGGGUUUUUUCAAACUCAUCAUCAUCCAAUGUGUUCAUACAGAAACAAGAACAAGAGCCUGAAGACAAAUAUAAACAAUCCAACAUCUUGCUAAAACUAAGUUUCCCCAUUGCUCCCAGAUGUUCUAACACAACAAAGACACUCACUUAGGGAACUUAAACAUGGUUAUACAUAAGCAAACUGUCUAUCUUAUAGGAACAAAAUCAAUCAAAAGAAACUAUGUUCACAAUCCCCAACACUAUAUAAUAUACAUGUAAGAGAGACAGAGAAGGAAGCUAAAGGUCAAAUUUUUCUUGGGAAAAACAAAAGCUAGACAGAACCUAAUGAAGCUAUUGAAGAAGAAAAGAACCUUCAAGUACCAAUUUUUUUGUUGAGUUAUAGCACUAGUCAAAAAGGUUCUCAAAAAGGGUACUCUUUAUCUUUAAUCACCACAAGCAGCAUUUCCAUGUGGUGGUGAGCUACUAAUAAAGACAACAAUAAACAUACACCUUAAAAAAAUUUACAUACACUACACCAUAAAGAUUGAGUGGGAUGAAAAGAAAAGGGAAUGUUCAUGUGAGAUUUGCAGUUGGUUUUUGAAAGUGAGAGUUGGUUUCACUCUUUCAUUUGAACUAUUGCUUUUUUAUCGUGAAAGAAACUUUAAAAACACACUGAAAGAAGAUACAGUUUCACAUGAUAUAAAAAAGGAUAGAGAAAAGCUAUAUAAAAUAUGGGUCAUAGUCACCAGCUCAAGAAAAUUGCUAAGAUCAAUCUAAACCAGGCAUGGCAUGUGGAUGGUAGCUAAGAAGUAUAUAUACAGGAAGAAAAUUUUAUAACCAAAAGAUUGGAUAAUAUAAGCAACUUUAGUAGUGUACAUAAGUACAUUUGCUAGAUGAUCAUGACACAUUACCUUCAGCAUUAUUUGAAGAAUAUGCUAGAUAUCUAAUCAAGUUUUUCUAUUCAUUACUUCAUAUUACUUCACUACCUUUCUUAUACAUGUAGAGAGAGAGAUUAAGGGUGAGAUUGAUUAGAUUAAACCAUGAAACAAGUUUAAUUAAUUCCAUCAAAGUACUGUUCAUGUUGAAGAUAUAAUAUGAGAUGGGAUAGAUGUAAUAAUUCAAAAGCAGUGAAUGAGUUUGAAGUUGUUGGCAAGCUUGUCUUGAUCUUCAUUCUUUCAAUAUUAAUAUAGAGAAGAUGGGGACAAGUGGCAUUGAAUUAUUGCUGCCCCCCUGAGCUCAGAAGAGAAUAGAAUUAUUGGAUGAUUGAAUAUUUCAAUAUAUAUUUUAAAUUUUCUACAAGAUUAAUGGGAGGCUUCUCUAACAGGUUGGUCCAUGUGAUGAUGACUCCUUUUAGUGGGAGGAAAGGGACGAAUUAUUUAAAAAUAUUAUAAAAUUAAAAAAUAUUUGAGUGGUGAAGUCAUACUCAUGUUUGUUAGUCUCACAUGACCUUUGGCAUGCAAUAAACCAAAGCUGGAUUUACCAAAUUUUCAUGUGGAGGCAUUCAACAAAUGAGGGUGGCAACCAGCAAAUUGGAGUAAUCCAUUUCCUUGGCUAAUAGCCGAAGCUAAAGGGCAAGAAUCGCCUCUUGGUUCUUUUAUGCCAAACAUUCCUAUUUAAUGUUAUAUUUCCUUCAUGCUCCAACAACAAC